GAGGGUAUAGCUCAGUGGUAGAGCAUAUGCUUAGCAUGCACAAAGUCAUGGGUCCAAUCCCAGUACCUCCA
Molecule: transfer RNA, 71 nt
Filed under: Camelus bactrianus (Bactrian camel)
Lineage: Eukaryota; Metazoa; Chordata; Mammalia; Artiodactyla; Camelidae
Also listed under: 2 other names
Rfam family: tRNA
About the family: Transfer RNA (tRNA) molecules are approximately 80 nucleotides in length. Their secondary structure includes four short double-helical elements and three loops (D, anti-codon, and T loops).
Source: Rfam by way of RNAcentral